GGCCUCGUAGUGUACGAGACAGCACGCGACCGUCCGAAGGUCGAGGAUCGGGUGCAAUUCCUGGCGAGGCCGCCA
RNAcentral lists this transfer RNA (75 nucleotides) under Nannocystis pusilla. RNAcentral describes it as "tRNA-Arg". Lineage: Bacteria; Pseudomonadati; Myxococcota; Nannocystales; Nannocystaceae. The record is from RNAcentral.